Molecule: ribosomal RNA, 503 nt
Filed under: uncultured bacterium
Lineage: Bacteria
Description: partial 16S ribosomal RNA
Rfam family: Bacterial small subunit ribosomal RNA
Source: RNAcentral
AUUGAACGCUGGCGGCAGGCUUAACACAUGCAAGUCGAGCGGGGUGAUGGUGCUUGCACUAUCACUUAGCGGCGGACGGGUGCGUAAUGCUUAGGAAUCUGCCUAUUAGUGGGGGACAACAUCUCGAAAGGGAUGCUACUACCGCAUACGUCCUACGGGAGAAAGCAGGGGAUCACUUGUGACCUUGCGCUAAUAGAUGAGCCUAAGUCGGAUUAGCUAGUUGGUGGGGUAAAGGCCUACCAAGGCGACGAUCUGUAGCGGGUCUGAGAGGAUGAUCCGCCACACUGGGACUGAGACACGGCCCAGACUCCUACGGGAGGCAGCAGUGGGGAAUAUUGGACAAUGGGGGGAACCCUGAUCCAGCCAUGCCGCGUGUGUGAAGAAGGCCUUAUGGUUGUAAAGCACUUUAAGCGAGGAGGAGGCUCUUUUGGUUAAUACCCAAGAUGAGUGGACGUUACUCGCAGAAUAAGCACCGGCUAACUCUGUGCCAGCCGCCGCCGUAA